Molecule: ribosomal RNA, 462 nt
Filed under: uncultured bacterium
Lineage: Bacteria
Description: partial 16S ribosomal RNA
Rfam family: Bacterial small subunit ribosomal RNA
Source: RNAcentral
CUACGGGGGGCUCCAGUGGGGAAUAUUGCACAAUGGGCGCAAGCCUGAUGCAGCCAUGCCGCGUGUAUGAAGAAGGCCUUCGGGUUGUAAAGUACUUUCAGCGGGGAGGAAGGGAGUAAAGUUAAUACCUUUGCUCAUUGACGUUACCCGCAGAAGAAGCACCGGCAACUCCGUGCCAGCAGCCGCGGUAAUACGGAGGGUGAAGCGUUAAUCGGAAUUACUGGGCGUAAAGCGCACGCAGGCGGUUUGUUAAGUCAGAUGUGAAAUCCCCGGGCUCAACCUGGGAACUGCAUCUGAUACUGGCAAGCUUGAGUCUCGUAGAGGGGGGUAGAAUUCCAGGUGUAGCGGUGAAAUGCGUAGAGAUCUGGAGGAAUACCGGUGGCGAAGGCGGCCCCCUGGACGAAGACUGACGCUCAGGUGCGAAAGCGUGGGGAGCAAACAGGAUUAGAUACCCCUGUAGUC